GACGAACGCUGGCGGCGUGCUUAACACAUGCAAGUCGAACGGAAAGGCCCUGCUUGCAGGGUACUCGAGUGGCGAACGGGUGAGUAACACGUGGGUGUUCUGCCCUGCACUUCGGGAUAAGCCUGGGAAAAUGGGUGUAAUACCGGAUAGGAGCCAUUUUUAGUGUGAGGGUUGGAAAGUUUUUUCGGUGUAGGGUGAGCUCGCGGCCUAUCAGCUUGUUGGUGGGGUAAGGGCCUACCAAGGAGGCGGCGGGGGGCCGGCCCGGGGGGGUGGACGGCCACAGUGGGGCUGGGAUACGGCCCAGACCCCGACGGGAGGGAGCAGGGGGGAAUAUUGCACAAGGGGCGCGAGCCUGAUGCAGCGACGCCGCGGGGGGGAGGACGGCCUUCGGGUUGGAAACUCCUUUCGCUAGGUACGAAGCUUUUUGUGACGGUACCUAGAUAAGAAGCACCGGCUAACUACGUG
Molecule: ribosomal RNA, 465 nt
Filed under: uncultured bacterium
Lineage: Bacteria
Description: partial 16S ribosomal RNA
Rfam family: Bacterial small subunit ribosomal RNA
Source: RNAcentral